Molecule: long non-coding RNA, 533 nt
Filed under: Chinchilla lanigera (long-tailed chinchilla)
Lineage: Eukaryota; Metazoa; Chordata; Mammalia; Rodentia; Chinchillidae
Description: lncRNA (ENSCLAG00000027594.1)
Source: RNAcentral
GCAUCUGCGGCUUCCGUCUCAGGAAAGAACCCCCGAGCGAGGCUUGCUAAUCCCAAGUCUGAGGCGAGAACACAUUUUUAAGCUUAUCCCCAACUCCCGGCCUCGCUUUGGCUGUCCUAGAAGCGGAACCUGGUUCCCGUCUUCCUGACCUCGACGCCUGCCGCCUGGUCUGUUGGCCUCAAGACAUUCCUGGCAUCAGAGCUGGAAGGGAACAAAGUCCCUCUGGUCCAAGGGUCCCUUUUACAGACGGUGAGGUCUAGAGCAAAAAAUAACUUACUAGUGGAAUCGGCAGUCCUUCCUAGAAAAACCAACCCAUUUAUUUGCUUCUCCAGGCUCUGGAGGAAGAGCCAGUCUCACCUGGCGCCCGUCAGAGCCCUUGGCAUGCAGCUCCCACAGGGACACCCUCGAACCGCGCCGACGAGCCGGGGAAGCCGCGCAUCCUCCGCCACGUACCCCUCUUCCUUCUGGAAGCGGCGGCGAACAGAGAUGUUUUGGGUGAGCCUGGCAUCUCUCUUCUCCCACCCUUCAGGAGC